This is a non-coding RNA of Mycena crocata, 93 nucleotides long. The record is from the annotation of a GenBank genome assembly. NCBI's taxonomy places the organism in Eukaryota, Fungi, Basidiomycota, Agaricomycetes, Agaricales, Mycenaceae.
UCAGACAUGGUGUAGUGGUGACACGGCCUCUCAAUGUACGGUUGAAUGCCAAAAGUUGUCAGGUAGUCCCGGGUUCGAAUCCCGGUGUCUGAA